GACGAACGCUGGCGGCGUGCUUAACACAUGCAAGUCGAACGGAAAGGCCUUUUCGUUGGUACUCGAGUGGCGGACGGGUGCGUAACACGUAGGUGAUCUGCCCUGCCCUCUGGGAUAAGCCUGGGAAACUGGGUCUAAUACCGGUUAGGACCGCACUUUAGUGUGUGUGGUUGCAAGUUUUGUCGGUGUUGGGUGAGUCCGCGGCCUAUCAGCUUGUUGGUGGGGUGAUGGGCUACCAAGGCGCCGGCGGGUAGCCGGACGGAGAGGUUGGUAGGCCACAGAGGGUCCGAGGGAAGGCCCAGACAGCGAAGGGAGGGAGAAGGGGGGAAGAGUGAACAAUGGGCGCAAGGCGGGUGCAGAGGGGCCGCGGGGGGGAUGACGGUCUUCGGGGUGAAAAACCCUUGUGCAAGGGACGAAGCGUGUUGUGACGGUACCUGGAGAAGAAGCACCGGCUAACUACGUG
RNAcentral lists this ribosomal RNA (463 nucleotides) under uncultured bacterium. RNAcentral describes it as "partial 16S ribosomal RNA". It matches the Rfam family "Bacterial small subunit ribosomal RNA", at positions 28 to 507 of the family's 1533-position model. The record is from RNAcentral.